This 1062-nucleotide ribosomal RNA is filed under the name Ammonia sp. RNAcentral describes it as "SSU rRNA". It matches the Rfam family "Eukaryotic small subunit ribosomal RNA", at positions 1160 to 1828 of the family's 1831-position model. The record is from RNAcentral. Lineage: Eukaryota; Foraminifera; Rotaliida; Rotaliidae.
AAGGGCACCACAAGAACGCGUGGAGCAUGUGGCUUAAUUUGACUCAACACGGGAAAUCUUACCGGGUCCGGACACACUGAGGAUUGACAGAUAUACGUCGUGUCGCUGACUACUUGUACCGAGCGCACGACUGAAAGAUGCUAGUUCUUUCAUGAUUAUGUGAUAGGUGGUGCAUGGCCGUUCUUAGUUCGUGGAGUGAUCUGUCUGCUUAAUUGCGUAUCAAUAAUAGAGACCUACUAUACGCGUAGAACCGUAUGGUUUGUGACCCCCUCGUUAAGAGGCGUGUGUCGCACAUAUGUGUUAUACGCAUAGGUCUCAGAUAGCAACGAACGUGACCGUACUCUAUUGUUGCAGUAACAUAUACGCCUAACCAACGUAUAAACCACUGCUUAGCAUAUAGCUGCGUCUUACCAACGCGCAAUAUGCAUUAAACUAUAGAGACCGCUGUUUCUUCUUUAAACCAGAGGAAGGAUACGGCAAUAACAGGUCUGUGAUGCCCUCAGAUGUUCCGGGCUGCACACGUGCUACAAUGAUCAUUGCACUGUGCAUCUAACCCAAUGUGCGCGGACGCACGAUUUUGAAUAUGUGCCUCGGUACGUAUUCAUAUAUCUGUUGCGACCGCGCCGAACCUACUUCGAAAGUAAAAUUUCUCAGUGGGUAAUCCAUUAGAAGUAAUGACUCGCAUAGACCAUGGCACAUUAUAUGUACGCGCAAGUCUAUCCGGCCCGCCUUUGUGCGUGGUGCAGUGUAUAGCUUGUUGUUUCGUACGUGCCACUUACGUAUUAAUUCAUACGUGGGGACAGAUCAUUGUUUAAUUGUUGGUCUCGGUCUUAACUAGGAAUGCCUUGUACGGGUCUUUGGUUCAACAAACCCCCCGGAAUACGUCCCUGCCCUUUGUACACACCGCCCGUCGCUCUUACCGAUGGAUUAUACUAUGAAUCUAUAGGACUGCCAAACCUUCUGUGCUCGCACACGGGUUAGUGGAAAUAUAUAUGAAUAGUGUGAUCUAAAGGAAAGAGAAGUCGUAACAAGGCAUCGGUAGGUGAACCUGCAGAAGGAUCA